RNAcentral lists this ribosomal RNA (460 nucleotides) under uncultured bacterium. RNAcentral's name for it is "partial 16S ribosomal RNA". It matches the Rfam family "Bacterial small subunit ribosomal RNA", at positions 338 to 795 of the family's 1533-position model. The record is from RNAcentral.
CCUACGGGAGGCAGCAGUGAGGAAUAUUGGUCAAUGGACGAGAGUCUGAACCAGCCAAGUAGCGUGAAGGAUGACUGCCCUAUGGGUUGUAAACUUCUUUUAUAAAGGAAUAAAACGAGGCACGUGUGCCUUUUUGCAUGUACUUUAUGAAUAAGGAUCGGCUAACUCCGUGCCAGCAGCCGCGGUAAUACGGAGGAUCCGAGCUUUAUCCGGAUUUAUUGGGUUUAAAGGGAGCGUAGAUGGGUUGUUAAGUAAGUUGGGAAAGUUUGCGGCUAAACCGGAAAAUUGCAAUUGUUACUGGCAGUCUUGAGUACAGUUGAGGUAGGCGGAAUUCGUGUGUUAGCGGUGAAAUGCUUAGAUAUCACGAAGAACCCCGAUUGCGAAGGCAGCUUACUAAACUGUGACUGACAUUGAUGCUCGAAAGUGUGGGUAUCAAACAGGAUUAGAUACCCCUGUAGUC